GACGAACGCUGGCGGCGUGCUUAACACAUGCAAGUCGAACGGAAAGGCCCUGCUUUUGUGGGGUGCUCGAGUGGCGAACGGGUGAGUAACACGUGAGUAACCUGCCCUUGACUUUGGGAUAACUUCAGGAAACUGGGGCUAAUACCGGAUAGGAGCUCCUGCUGCAUGGUGGGGGUUGGAAAGUUUCGGCGGUUGGGGAUGGACUCGCGGCUUAUCAGCUUGUUGGUGGGGUAGUGGCUUACCAAGGCUUUGACGGGUAGCCGGCCUGAGAGGGUGACCGGCCACAUUGGGACUGAGAUACGGCCCAGACUCCUACGGGAGGCAGCAGUGGGGAAUAUUGCACAAUGGGCGGAAGCCUGCUGCAGCAACGCCGCGUGCGGGAGGACGGCCUUCGGGUUGUAAACCGCUUUCGCCUGUGACGAAGCGUGAGUGACGGUAAUGGGUAAAGAAGCACCGGCUAACUACGU
Molecule: ribosomal RNA, 467 nt
Filed under: uncultured bacterium
Lineage: Bacteria
Description: partial 16S ribosomal RNA
Rfam family: Bacterial small subunit ribosomal RNA
Source: RNAcentral